RNA transcript from Fragaria vesca subsp. vesca, 895 nucleotides. RefSeq lists it as uncharacterized. Lineage: Eukaryota; Viridiplantae; Streptophyta; Magnoliopsida; Rosales; Rosaceae. The transcript has 2 exons. The record is from RefSeq and is a predicted model, not a curated record.
UUGCAGCACGCGACGCAAGAAAUUGUGGCGGGGCAGGAGUGGGUCUCUAACGGCAGGCAGCUGAUCGGAAACCUACCGGGCCUGCCGGCGAGGUUCACGCGCGCUCUGAUGGGGAUUUAUGAAUCUCAAUUUCAGAUCCAACUGUGCCUUGGGCAAAUCCAACUGGCCAUUAAUGCGAUCGAGCCGAUGUUCCAGGCGCCGGUGAUCGAGCCAUUUCCGGAUGUGAUCGCAUCGGUGGCCGAAGCACACGACGUGAUCAACGCAGCUCUUGUGGGCCUUCAUAGCUAUUUGCUGGUUCUUGUCAAGGCCCAAAUCCAUGCUGAAGCCCAGGCCCGAAUUCAAUUGGGAUUGGGUCUCUUUCACCUUGCCUUGCGUCACUGCCAAGAAGCCUUCUCCAUUUUCGAGUUCCUUCACGAUGGCCACGACUGGAUUUGGGGAGAGGCUAACGUGCAAGAGCAAGCCUAGAGCGUCUCUCAAGGUUGCAAAAGGAAACGGGUGUAUAGUGGCUGGGAAUGAUCAUGUCUAAAGUGGCAGCUGAAGUACCAAGUGUAAAGAAGACUUAAAGUAGGCAAGCAUUAAACCAUUUGAUUUUAUUUUUUUUUGUUCAUAAGCAAACAAAGGAGCAACAGCAAACGAGGAAGAUCACAACUUAAAACCUCUAGGACCAUGAUUACUGUUCACUGAUCAUGAUUAAACCAGAUGAUUACUGUGCUGUUGGUUUAUUACUUUAGUAUCUAAUCAGCAUAUGAGAUACUAUUACUUCAUGAUCUUUGUAUGGUUUGUGUUGCGGAUUGAUUACUACUGUUCCCUGAUCAUGGUUAAACCAGAUGAUUACUGUGCUGUUGGUUUUUUACUUUAGUAUGUAAAUCAGAAUACGAGAUACUAUUACUUCAUG